Molecule: long non-coding RNA, 3305 nt
Organism: Crotalus tigris (Tiger rattlesnake)
Lineage: Eukaryota; Metazoa; Chordata; Lepidosauria; Squamata; Viperidae
Exons: 3
Source: RefSeq, a predicted model, not a curated record
GAGCACUACCUGUACAUAGCGUUUAGGGACUGAAGUGGGGAUUUAGCCAGCUUCCCAGUUACUGGGGAACAUGCUGGUAUUCUAACUGUAAAGGAGAAGAAAAGAGUGUAGUAGAAAGACACAGAAGCAAGUUGUCAUAUUUCUGCCUAUGCUGCCGAACAUGGUUGUGGAGAGACUGUGCUAGAAGUUACUUGGCUGGAAACAAACAUUGCUGCAUGCAGUUACCAUUUCCUGGUCCCAGAGGGGAAAAGGAACGUCAGCUGGAGGUAUCUCUGAAAGAAGAGAAGCGAAAACUCCGCCCAUAACCCAAGGCAGACAGGAAAGGAGGGAGGUGGCUGACUGCAGACAGACACCUGGAAACUUCAGAGAAGCUAGGAACAGAAGGGCUGGGCAGAAGAUCCAGAGGGAACUGCAUCAAUGCAAUGUCUAUGGAGAGAGUGGCUGAUGAUGAAAGAGUGGAGCACAUGCCUAAGUAAUUCAGCCAAUUUCUCCUUCCCUCUCAGUGAGAAGCUGAAGGGGAGGGAGGAAGAGAAAAGGGGAGUUGGUAGCUAAGCAACAGAGCUAGUGUUUGCUAGAGAAUAGCCCUGGCAGUGAGACCUGGAGAAAGUUGACACCCUUCUUGUAAAUAGUAGUUCCUUAUUGCUAUACUGUUAAUCUACUAUAUGCAGUUUUGCAUCUAGUAAAAAGAGGAUGAAUGCCUCCACUGUCCCUGCUUCAGAAAAGCAAGUAUGAUCCUUUAAGGAACAAAUAUACACAACUGUAAACUGAACCAAGUGUCAAAUGGUGAUAGUCAGCAAACAAAUCCUUCAAGAGCCUCCUGCAAAGCCUGUCCUGAGAGCCUCUCUUCAGAUCUUAUGUAAUAAUGCUGACAGAACAUACAUGUGCUCUAGCUUCACACUGCCAAAAACUGUUUUCUUUCAUGUUAUGCUGAAGAAGACUGAAGACUUGUGUUACCUGCUUGGGAGGAAGCAGGAUUUGAAGGAGUUGCAAUGCAACUACAAGGACGGGAAGGACGGAAGCUGUCCAGACAAGGAAAGUUCUUGGUGGUUAGCCUUCUGGAACAGAUUAGCUAUUCCAAACGCCCAGACUAAACAACCUUGGAAAGGACAGAAUCUGUUUCGUUAAAACACUGGAAAUACAGUAUGAGAAAUCACUUAGACAUUCAUUGGACUGUACUUUACUAUAAAAUCUUCCAUGCUUAAAAAUUCCACAGCUAUGCAGUGAUUCGUUCUUUUUUUCUAGCAUAAUUACUAAUAGCAGUUUCACUUCAGUGUUGAAAAGAAAUAAACUAGAAUUACCUAUUGAGACCAGAUAGAUGUAGCAGCAUUGUUCAUGUAAGCAAAAUGUAUUACACUAGUUCAAUAAUAAAUGAAAGCAGUAUUUAAGCAGAUCAGAAAUGAAGAAAUGUAAAGCUAUUCUGCCUUUGAUUAGUUACCACAAUUGUUGGUCAUUCACUUCUGCAGCAGUAUGUGCUUUUUGUAGUGGUGAUUAUAUUUAUAAACAUUAGGAAAAUAUUAUUAAUUUAUGAAAGGGGAUUCGGAACAUUUGUUUGAUGAAUGUAAUUAAAAAGAACAUAUAGUAUGUCAUUUUGUACUACUAUCUAAUAGGACACAUUGAAAUUACAAACAGUAAUGGGUAAUCCUAAAUUAUUUUGAACAAUGCCUCUAAAAGAUGCAUGUGCUAAAGGAUUAUUGAAUGGAAAAGCAAACUGAUAUUUUGUUGUGCUUUACCAAUGUGAUGUUUCCACAAUUAGCAAACCCAAAAAUCAUUUUGCCAUCUCAUCUAAUUUCUCUUAGAAGGAUAUUUGUGGCAGCAAUACAUGAACAUGUUCUACUCCAUCUUCAACCACAGAAAUAGCCACAAUUUUAGUCUUCAGUUAAUUAAUAGACAAGAGUACAUUUCUCACAGCUUGUUUGGCCAGCUAAACAACUUUUCUUUGAAAAGGGUAUUAAAGAGAAGAGAUAUAAUAAAGUGCCAUUACAAAAAGACAUUUUCCCUUCUUUGAGGAAAAGGUCAAGUAAGGAUUUAUAGAAUCGUUUUUCAAAGUUGCAGAUUCUUUUAUUUUAGUUCCUGAAAAUACAGCCCAAAGACUGUAAUCAUAAGUAACUCUACAAUAUAAUUCUUUUAUGUCACGCCAAGAGCCAAUCCAUAGAUGUGUAUGAAUCAGCAUCUAUGAUAUUGCUGAGUUCUGGACAUCUUCCCGAGCAGAUAAACUCUCAGCUGGAACUUUCUUAAAUAGGUCUGCAAUUCUGAUCAAAUAACGUACAAAACCCUAAAUUAUCAUGUUUUUGUCCUGUAAAUUUCUUUCUAUCAUAUAUAGCCUCUAGGAUGGCCAUGGAAAAAAAAUUACAGUAGUUAUUAUCCUGACAAACAAAAAUACUUUGGCAUCUGAAAAUCAAACAUUGCUACAAUAGUUAUGGAAGAAACUUUGGUGCUGCCAUCUAAUCAAUUUUCAACCUGCUUUUCUGCCCAGAGGUUUCUUGCAAUCUCCAUAUUGAAAAAAGUCCCCCUUCAACGAUUAUACAAAUCUUAAAGGAUAUAUGAAACACUGACUUAUGGAGAAGGUUAGGUUUAGUUUGUUAUCAACUACACUGUCACAAUGUUCUUCACAUGUACUCUUUAUCAAGCAGGGCAUCCUAUAUCUGCAUGUUUAUUUUUUAAGGAACUAUUACAUCAAAUGCAAAUCAAAAGCACAUUUAUUCAAAAUUAGUAAUCUCAGAAUAAAUGAUUUCAGCAUGAUAGUAGUUGCAUAAACCAAGAAACAUGUUCAGACCCUCCACCAAAUAUAUAUGCAUAUAUGCAUAUUCAUCCACCUAGAAAGGCAGAUAUACAAGAAUAGGGGAGGUCUUCUUCUGACGCUUAAACAUCUUUUGAGCAAGUUCUCCAGCAGCUUUCAUAAGCACAUCUCCCACACAGAACAAUUAAAACAAGAAACUUGAUUGAUCUUCAUAGUUACCAUCACUGCAUAAGAUAUAGUCUGUAAUUUAAUACUUCAUUCCAUAAAGAAGAACAUACUUCCCUGAGAAAAAAAUGAAAUGAACUAUUGAUGUAUGUAAAAAUAUAUUCUUAGGCAAUGCUUGUGAAAACUGAUAACAGAAUCUAUUUAGCUUGCUAAUUAAAAAGUGGAGGGAAAGUUCUCUUUCCCAAAAAUAUUUUGCAGAAUUGGAAACUGUCUGCUAAUAUAUUCUCAAAAGCAGAUUUUAAGUAAUAUAACUCUAUCCAGUGCUUUUUUUCUUAAAAAAAAAAAGUGCUGGAACUCACACACGUCAUACAACCUGCCUUGCCUACCCUACAAGGUUCCAUUC